Molecule: long non-coding RNA, 649 nt
Filed under: Olea europaea subsp. europaea
Lineage: Eukaryota; Viridiplantae; Streptophyta; Magnoliopsida; Lamiales; Oleaceae
Source: RNAcentral
GGCGACGAUAACACACCUCGUUACCUUUGUUGCAAGUACCAGAAGGCCUUGUUCGUGCCUUUCUCGGUCCUCAUGCUCGGGAGAUCUACCAUGUACAAUUUUUGGUAGCAUCAGUGGCACCAUCUAUGGGAACAGCUACCAAAAGCCACGGUGAAUAAAUGAUCAGGUCUUCCUCCAGCAGGCUCAUUCAUUCCAAACCAUCCUCCUGCUGAAGAUCCUCCAACUCCUCAAAAAGAAUCAACAGAAAUUAGUUGUUACCACUAGAGCAUUCAAGGAACAUCAUCAACAACUUAUUAGCUUGACUCAGCUGCUGAACCCAAGCACCACACCUACACCACCGACUCCGACACCAAAAAGCAUAUUCAUGGCCGAUGCCCGAGCUUGAAGUUUCGUUCUUAUUGUUCAUGCUGUUGGGACCUCAAGCAUAUAGCCCACGCCCUUGGCCUCGAGGUUGGUCACUUGAACAUUGUGGAAGGCUAGUCCGCGUGGAAGUACUAGUAGAGCUCGAGCUCAAGCCUAACAGAAAAGCUACCCGUGGAAUGACCACAACCUAAAGCCUUACUGCAAGUAGCUGUCCCUGCCUCCAAGUAUGUAGAUUGCUUAACUUGUGUCCUUUUAGCCUUGUGUGCCCAUAAGCAAUUUAUUUUUA